UGGGGAAUAUUGGGCAAUGGGGGGAACCCUGACCCAGCAACGCCGCGUGGAGGAAGAAGGUUUUCGGAUCGUAAACUCCUGUCCUUGGUGAAGAGAAGGAGACGGUAGCCAAGGAGGAAGCCCCGGCUAACUACGUGCC
Molecule: ribosomal RNA, 139 nt
Filed under: uncultured bacterium
Lineage: Bacteria
Description: partial 16S ribosomal RNA
Rfam family: Bacterial small subunit ribosomal RNA
Source: RNAcentral